This is a long non-coding RNA of Phyllostomus discolor (pale spear-nosed bat), 368 nucleotides long. RefSeq lists it as uncharacterized. The transcript has 3 exons. NCBI's taxonomy places the organism in Eukaryota, Metazoa, Chordata, Mammalia, Chiroptera, Phyllostomidae. The record is from RefSeq and is a predicted model, not a curated record.
CCCAGCUCUGGGGGUGCAGGACGGCAUGGCCGCUGGAGCCCUCAGACUCGUGACUCGCAAGCCCCCCUCAAACUGGCCCCUUUAAGCAGAGGCGAUGCACCCAGCUGGUCCAGCGCACCCAGGGCCAUGCUGAACCCCAGGGACUUGUGGGUGGAGAAUGUGUGGGCCCUUGGAGUGCGCAGCAGGUGAAGGCAGUAGAGGCCCCCGGGAGCCACUCCCAGCCCGGUGCGGAGUUCCAGGUGCUGCCUGGGGAGGGCCAGUGCGGGGCGUUUUUUCUACAAGAGGAACCGACCUAGUUUUAUAAAGAUAAGUCUGUUGUAGUUAAGUGACCCAGCCUUCAAUAAAACCUUAGCCGGAGGUUAAACGCA